Molecule: ribosomal RNA, 475 nt
Filed under: uncultured bacterium
Lineage: Bacteria
Description: bacterial SSU rRNA
Rfam family: Bacterial small subunit ribosomal RNA
Source: RNAcentral
AACGAACGCUGGCGGCAGGCCUAACACAUGCAAGUCGAACGCCGUAGCAAUACGGAGUGGCAGACGGGUGAGUAACACGUGGGAACGUACCUUUCGGUUCGGAAUAACUCAGGGAAACUUGAGCUAAUACCGGAUACGUGCGAGAGCAGAAAGAUUUAUCGCCGAAAGAUCGGCCCGCGUCCGAUUAGCUUGUUGGUGAGGUAACGGCUCACCAAGGCGACGAUCGGUAGCUGGUCUGAGAGGAUGAUCAGCCACACUGGGACUGAGACACGGCCCAGACUCCUACGGGAGGCAGCAGUGGGGAAUAUUGGACAAUGGGGGCAACCCUGAUCCAGCAAUGCCGCGUGAGUGAUGAAGGCCUUAGGGUUGUAAAGCUCUUUCGGCCGGGAAGAAAUCGCAUGGGUUAAUACCCUGUGCGGAUGACGGUACCGGCAUAAGAAGCACCGGCUAACUACGUGCCAGCAGCCGCGGUAAU